This 1310-nucleotide long non-coding RNA is filed under the name Cyanistes caeruleus (blue tit). RNAcentral describes it as "lncRNA (ENSCCEG00000021545.1)". Lineage: Eukaryota; Metazoa; Chordata; Aves; Passeriformes; Paridae. The record is from RNAcentral.
CAAAUCCAUGCUACACCACUGCUGUCCAAGUCACUCCUGUGAUGGUUCACAUCUCAGCACUGGGGUGUUGAUUUCUCCUGGAGAGCCCUGCAGCAUGAACACCCCACUGCUAAAAAUAACCCGGUAAAUCAAAUUUAAAAAUCACAGCAGCUCCGAUCAUUUCUGCAGUGGGAGCCAAUAAAGUCAGGCCUUUCCUUCUUAACCCGGAGCCACGCGCAGAUAUUGCACAUUGCCAUGUGCAUAACCUAUUUAAAGAAUUUAUAUGCGUCAUAAGGCAAAGGUGACUUUUCCCCCCCUCUCCCUCGCAGCCCACCAUGCUGCAAGAUGAUACCAGGGAAAAGCACCUGUGCUUGGAACCUCUGCACGCAGAAAUAUUGCAAGUGGGCCAGCAUUUUAUCUCCCGAAGAAUUACAGGCUUCGCAUUGUCACGGUAAGCACUGCAGAUCACUUAACUGCCCAAACCCGUUACUCUAAGCUGCCUAUAAAUAAAUGGAGAGAGAGAUGGAGAGAGAAAGGGAGAGAGAAUAGUUUUUUUUUAAAAGAGCUCUAUAAUUAAUUUAAUCAAGUUAUCUCGAGGUAUCUUUUCAAGAGACAAUCAAGACAAGAAACUAAAUGGAAACUUAGACAGUGAAGGCCUGGAAGUAUCAAAUUCAUCCUUUGGUAACUUACUGGAGGCAAAGGAAAGUAAUUAUUUACUGAUGAUUGGGUACAGGUGGAAGUGCCAUUAGCCACCGAGGCUGUACAGAGCUAAACCCUGAUGGGCACGUGGAUUUUGGGACAGAGUGCAUCAAACUGCCUGAGCAUCACCACCUCAAACACAAUCCACUUCCCAGGCAUGUCUGCACUGUCCCAGCCCUCUUGAUUUGGGGUCAGUCCUUUGAAAGCAGGACUGUGGGAGAGAGAUGUGGGGUUACACUGAGCAUCUUCUGCUGGGGACCAGAGCUGUUCCCACUCCCCCCUGCUUUGCUUCAGGGAGUGCCUUGGAACAUAUUUGAAAUCAAUAUCUUUCCACUUCAGCCUCAAUAUUCUAAUAAAGACGUGUUAUAGACAGUACAGAAAAGCCAAAGAAUUUAUCAGCAUUUGUCGAUAUUCCUAAUGAAGCAGAAGAUUCAACAUGCAAUGGAAUUAGCCUACAACGAACCCUUGCAUGGGGCCCAUCCUUCUGAGUCCAGAAAUCUCCUGCCUAUUCCAGUCCAAUACACUUUUGAGAAAUGAGGAGCCCUCCAAUCCAUUAUCAUUAUAAGCUAAAAGGCCAAAUGAGACAAAGUACUGUUGCUCUUCAUCUGAAUAAACAAAUCAUUUUUAGAUCA